CUGCAGUUUAUUAAGCUAACCAGCAUUGUUGACUGUUGCUGUGGUGUGCAAAAGCUGCACACAAUGAAUCUUCAGUUUGCGUAUGAGCCCUGCUGGGGAGUUGCUCGGUACAUCU
Molecule: small nucleolar RNA, 115 nt
Organism: Electrophorus electricus (electric eel)
Lineage: Eukaryota; Metazoa; Chordata; Actinopteri; Gymnotiformes; Gymnotidae
Product: small nucleolar RNA SNORA70
Source: RefSeq, a predicted model, not a curated record